GCCAGUGUGGCUCAGUGGAUAGAGCGUCGGCCUGUGAAGGGUCCCGGGUUCGAUUCCCGGUCAGGGCA
Molecule: transfer RNA, 68 nt
Filed under: Myotis brandtii (Brandt's bat)
Lineage: Eukaryota; Metazoa; Chordata; Mammalia; Chiroptera; Vespertilionidae
Rfam family: tRNA
About the family: Transfer RNA (tRNA) molecules are approximately 80 nucleotides in length. Their secondary structure includes four short double-helical elements and three loops (D, anti-codon, and T loops).
Source: Rfam by way of RNAcentral